RNAcentral lists this ribosomal RNA (253 nucleotides) under uncultured bacterium. RNAcentral's name for it is "partial 16S ribosomal RNA". It matches the Rfam family "Bacterial small subunit ribosomal RNA", at positions 524 to 776 of the family's 1533-position model. The record is from RNAcentral.
UACGGGGGGGGCAAGCGUUGUUCGGAAUUACUGGGCGUAAAGGGCUCGUAGGUGGCCAACUAAGUCAGACGUGAAAUCCCCAGGCUCAACUUGGGAACUGCGUCUGAUACUGGAUGGCUUGAAUUCGGGAGAGGGAUGCAGAAUUCCAGGUGUAGCGGUGAAAUGCGUAGAUAUCUGGAGGAAUACCGGUGGCGAAGGCGGCUCCCUGGACCGGCACUGACGCUGAGGCGCGAAAGCUAGGGGAGCAAACGGG